This 729-nucleotide ribosomal RNA is filed under the name uncultured archaeon. Its description in RNAcentral is "bacterial SSU rRNA". It matches the Rfam family "Archaeal small subunit ribosomal RNA", at positions 128 to 860 of the family's 1478-position model. The record is from RNAcentral.
AAUCUCGGGAAACUGAGGAUAAUACCCCAUAGGUGUGGUAUGCUGGAAGGCUUCCACGCUAAAAGCCCCGGCGCUCCAGGAUGAGUCUGCGGCCUAUCAGGCAGUAGUGGGUGUAACGGACCCACUAACCUACGACGGGUAGGGGCGUUGAGAGACGGAGCCCCCAGAUGGAUUCUGAGACACGAAUCCAGGCCCUACGGGGCGCAGCAGCUACGAAAACUGCCCAAUGUGGGAAACCACGAGGCGGGCAUUCCGAGUGCCAAGGCAUUGCUUUGGCUGUUCUUUCGCCUAAAAAGCGAGAGAAGUAAGGGCCGGGUAAGACGGGUGCCAGCCGCCGCGGUAAUACCCGCGGCCCGAGUGGUGCUCAUUAUUAUUGAGCUUAAAGCGUCCGUAGCCGGCCUUGUAAAUCUUUGGGUAAAUCGGGCAGCUCAACUGUUCGAAUUCCGAGGAGACUGCAAGGCUCGGGACCGGGAGAGGUUCGAGGUACUCUCGGGGUAGGGGUAAAAUCCUGUAAUCCUGAGAGGACCACCAGUGGCGAAGGCGUCGAACUAGAACGGAUCCGACGGUGAGGGACGAAGCCCUGGGGCGCAAACGGGAUUAGAUACCCCGGUAGUCCAGGGUGUAAACGCUGCGGGCUUGGUGUCGGAGGUCCUACGUGGGCGUCCGGUGCCGGAGAGAAAUUGUUAAGCCUGCCGCUUGGGGAGUACGGUCGCAAGACUGAAACUUAAA